This 780-nucleotide long non-coding RNA is filed under the name Fukomys damarensis (Damara mole-rat). RNAcentral describes it as "lncRNA (ENSFDAG00000026402.1)". Lineage: Eukaryota; Metazoa; Chordata; Mammalia; Rodentia; Bathyergidae. The record is from RNAcentral.
CUGCUAUAUACUUUUGUGUUCUCUGCUUUGUUUACUAAUAAUAGGGCAAUUUUAAGGAGGUUUAUUUCCUCUAAAAGGAAGCUGGCCUGUGCACCUAAUUAAAACCAAUUUUCAAGCUCUGAACAAGGUCCCGGAUUUCGAUCCACAAAAUCCCAUCAAGCAUGUCCUCUCCUUGAAGACAGGGUUGAUGAUUUUUAAAGCCCCAGGUCUCCUGGCUCCAAACACAUAUGCUUUUCCAGUCUUUGCUAUAUCCUCCAAGAAGAAGCUGGCAGCUCAUAGCCAGAAGAGAGAUGAGUAAAGCCAAGACAGCUGCCAUCCAGCCAGCGACUCAAGGACCCGGGCUCCUCUGUCUCACGAUUUCAAGGGAGAAAAGAAGAGAGAACAUUGGAGGGAACAUGUCAACAUCAACAUGUCCCUGGCCUAGAAGCUAACCACAGCACAGCCAGAAUCAGCAUGUGACCUGGCACCAUUUACUGCUCAGGGGGACCGCGAAAGCCACUCUUUAAAGAGCCGCAGUCAUCUAUAUGAAAAUAAGAAGCAGAAAGUUCAAAAGCUUAAGUACUCAUUGGAAAAGUGCAGUGCUGUCCUGCUGUCUCUUUGUUAUCCAACAAAAGGCAGGAAAAAGGAGAGAAAAAGAGGUGUGUGUCUUUCUCAGACAAGGCAGAGAUAAGGUGGGUGCUGAACUAUGUCAGUGGGCAAAGGAGAGAGUAUAGUUUCAGGCUUUACAAAAAAUGUGGAAGUCACUGACAUCUUUUUUUCAAUUUAUAUUCUAAAUCUGGG